AUCCAGUUGACGAGUCCCAAAUAGGACGAAACGCCAUCCUGGAU
Non-coding RNA from Schistosoma mansoni, 44 nucleotides. Lineage: Eukaryota; Metazoa; Platyhelminthes; Trematoda; Strigeidida; Schistosomatidae. The record is from Rfam.